This 253-nucleotide ribosomal RNA is filed under the name uncultured bacterium. RNAcentral describes it as "partial 16S ribosomal RNA". It matches the Rfam family "Bacterial small subunit ribosomal RNA", at positions 524 to 776 of the family's 1533-position model. The record is from RNAcentral.
UACGGAGGGUGCAAGCGUUGUCCGGAAUCACUGGGCGUAAAGGGCGCGUAGGCGGCCUGGUAAGUAGGGGGUGAAAUCCUGCGGCUUAACCGCAGGGCUGCCUUCUAAACUGUCAGGCUUGAGCACGGUAGAGGCAGAUGGAAUUCCUGGUGUAGCGGUGGAAUGCGCAGAUAUCAGGAGGAACACCGGUGGCGAAGGCGGGUCUCUGGGCAGUAACUGACGCUGAGGAGCGAAAGCGUGGGGAGCGAACAGG